AGCUCCAAUAGCGUAUAUUAAAGUUGUUGCGGUUAAAAAGCUCGUAGUUGGAUUUCUGCUUGGGGUGGCCGAUGUGCCUUCUGGGUUACAGCCGGUUCAGCCUGAGCAUCUUUCUGGGAAUCGUGUCUGCACUUGAUUGUGUGGCACGGGUUCCAGGACUUUUACUUUGAGGAAAUUAGAGUGUUUCAAGCAGGCGUCCGCCUUGAAUACGUUAGCAUGGAAUAAUGCGACAGGACCUCGGUCCAUUUUGUUGGUUUCUUGGGUUGAGGUAAUGAUUAACAGGGAUGGUUGGGGGCAUUCGUAUUUAACUGUCAGAGGUGAAAUUCUUGGAUUUGUUAAAGACGAACUACUGCGAAAGCAUUUGCCAAGGAUGUUUUCA
RNAcentral lists this ribosomal RNA (379 nucleotides) under uncultured eukaryote. Its description in RNAcentral is "SSU rRNA". It matches the Rfam family "Eukaryotic small subunit ribosomal RNA", at positions 587 to 972 of the family's 1831-position model. The record is from RNAcentral.